RNAcentral lists this ribosomal RNA (1623 nucleotides) under uncultured bacterium. Its description in RNAcentral is "bacterial SSU rRNA". It matches the Rfam family "Bacterial small subunit ribosomal RNA". The record is from RNAcentral.
GACGAACGCUGGCGGCGUGCUUAACACAUGCAAGUCGAGCGGGGUUAAAGACUAACACUGAGUAUUUGAUGCAAUCUGGGUAUUACAAAGGCAGCGCAUAUGCAAAAACAACCACUAAACAGGGGACAUUCCACAGCAAGGAUGGCCCGUGUAACCAGUGGAGUGUUCCCAUAAUGGGUUUUUGCAUUACGCGUUUUAAUAGUGCUAACACCUAGACAUGAAGUACUGAGUGUUAGACUUUAACCUAGCGGCGGACGGGUGAGUAACGCGUGAGCAAUCUGCCUCGUACAGGGGGAUAACAGUCGGAAACGGCUGCUAAUACCCCAUGAGACCCCACUACCGCAUGGUAGAGAGGUCAAAGGAGCAAUCCGGUAUGAGAUGAGCUCGCGUCCCAUUAGCUAGUUGGUAAGGUAAGAGCUUACCAAGGCGACGAUGGGUAGCCGACCUGAGAGGGUGAUCGGCCACACUGGGACUGAGACACGGCCCAGACUCCUACGGGAGGCAGCAGUGGGGAAUAUUGCGCAAUGGGGGGAACCCUGACGCAGCAACGCCGCGUGAGUGAAGAAGGCCUUCGGGUCGUAAAACUCUGUCAUUGGGGAAGAAGGACGUGACGGUACCCAAUGAGGAAGCCCCGGCUAACUACGUGCCAGCAGCCGCGGUAAUACGUAGGGGGCGAGCGUUGUCCGGAAUUACUGGGCGUAAAGGGUGCGUAGGCGGCCGAUUAAGUCAGAUGUGAAAAACCACGGCUCAACUGUGGGGGUGCAUAUGAAACUGGUUGGCUUGAGUGCAGGAGAGGAAAGUGGAAUUCCUAGUGUAGCGGUGAAAUGCGUAGAGAUUAGGAGGAACACCAGUGGCGAAGGCGACUUUCUGGACUGUAACUGACGCUGAGGCACGAAAGCGUGGGGAGCAAACAGGAUUAGAUACCCUGGUAGUCCACGCCGUAAACGAUGGAUACUAGGUGUAGGGGGUAUCGACCCCCCCUGUGCCGGAGUUAACGCAAUAAGUAUCCCGCCUGGGGAGUACGGCCGCAAGGCUGAAACUCAAAGGAAUUGACGGGGGCCCGCACAAGCAGCGGAGCAUGUGGUUUAAUUCGAAGCAACGCGAAGAACCUUACCAGGGCUUGACAUCCCAAUGACGGGUAUAGAGAUAUACCUUUUCUUCGGAACAUUGGAGACAGGUGGUGCAUGGUUGUCGUCAGCUCGUGUCGUGAGAUGUUGGGUUAAGUCCCGCAACGAGCGCAACCCCUAUUAUUAGUUGCCAUCAGUUGAAGCUGGGCACUCUAAUGAGACUGCCGGGGAUAACUCGGAGGAAGGUGGGGAUGACGUCAAAUCAUCAUGCCCCUUAUGUCCUGGGCUACACACGUGCUACAAUGGCCUGAAACAAAGGGAAGCGAAGGCGUAAGUCGGAGCGAACCCCAUAAACCAGGUCCCAGUUCGGAUUGUGGGCUGCAACCCGCCCACAUGAAGUCGGAGUUGCUAGUAAUCGCGAAUCAUCAUGUCGCGGUGAAUGCGUUCCCGGGCCUUGUACACACCGCCCGUCACACCAUGGGAGUCGGGGGCACCCGAAGCCGGUGACCUAACCGAAAGGGAGGAGCCGUCGAAGGUGAAACUGAUGACUGGGGUG